CGUAGGGAUAGUGGACGGUGCUGCUGCUGCUGCUGCCUGUUUAAAUCUCAAACCUGGCCGCACUAUGAGUCGAGUCUGUAUGCUGUCCCAGUGGGAGUGUACACUGAAAAACGUAUAACCGCCAUUCAACUUCAAAUAAUUAAGAACAAAAGAACGACGUGCCGAGUUUACUUACUCUUGUGAAAAGACGUGAUGAGAAGUGCUAGGGAAAGGAUGAAGAGCAGAAGGACGAAGACAGUCAAACACCACGAGCGUCUCUCUGACAGAGUUCUCCAAAGCCUGUAGAGCAUCAAAGAAGGACACAAGGAAGGACUUCUUUGGACACCUUUCGACUGCCACGUUUGUUUAGAAAGAGGAGGACAUCGGAGUAGGCAAAGAAACGCCAUACCUAUACAUGGAGACU
Long non-coding RNA from Erpetoichthys calabaricus (reedfish), 403 nucleotides. RefSeq lists it as uncharacterized. NCBI's taxonomy places the organism in Eukaryota, Metazoa, Chordata, Cladistia, Polypteriformes, Polypteridae. The transcript is spliced from 3 exons. The record is from RefSeq and is a predicted model, not a curated record.